UACGAGAGGCCCAAACGUUAUUCGGAAUUACUGGGCUUAAAGAGCGCGCAGGCGGUCGAUCAAGUCGAGUGUGAAAGCCCCCGGCUCAACUGGGGAGGGUCAUUCGAUACUGAUCGACUCGAAGGCAGGAGAGGGUAGUGGAAUUCCCGGUGUAGUGGUGAAAUGCGUAGAUAUCGGGAGGAACACCAGUGGCGAAGGCGACUACCUGGCCUGUUCUUGACGCUGAGGCGCGAAAGCUAGGGGAGCAAACGGG
This 253-nucleotide ribosomal RNA is filed under the name uncultured bacterium. RNAcentral describes it as "partial 16S ribosomal RNA". It matches the Rfam family "Bacterial small subunit ribosomal RNA", at positions 524 to 776 of the family's 1533-position model. The record is from RNAcentral.